RNAcentral lists this ribosomal RNA (551 nucleotides) under uncultured bacterium. Its description in RNAcentral is "partial 16S ribosomal RNA". It matches the Rfam family "Bacterial small subunit ribosomal RNA", at positions 356 to 898 of the family's 1533-position model. The record is from RNAcentral.
AGGGAAUCUUCGGCAAUGGGGGCAACCCUGACCGAGCAACGCCGCGUGAGUGAAGAAGGUUUUCGGAUCGUAAAGCUCUGUUGUAAGUCAAGAACGGGUGUGAGAGUGGAAAGUUCACACUGUGACGGUAGCUUACCAGAAAGGGACGGCUAACUACGUGCCAGCAGCCGCGGUAAUACGUAGGUCCCGAGCGUUGUCCGGAUUUAUUGGGCGUAAAGCGAGCGCAGGCGGUUUGAUAAGUCUGAAGUUAAAGGCUGUGGCUCAACCAUAGUUCGCUUUGGAAACUGUCAAACUUGAGUGCAGAAGGGGAGAGUGGAAUUCCAUGUGUAGCGGUGAAAUGCGUAGAUAUAUGGAGGAACACCGGUGGCGAAAGCGGCUCUCUGGUCUGUAACUGACGCUGAGGCUCGAAAGCGUGGGGAGCGAACAGGAUUAGAUACCCUGGUAGUCCACGCCGUAAACGAUGAGUGCUAGGUGUUGGAUCCUUUCCGGGAUUCAGUGCCGCAGCUAACGCAUUAAGCACUCCGCCUGGGGAGUACGACCGCAAGGUUGAA